UAGAGUUUGAUCCUGGCUCAGGAUGAACGCUGGCGGCGUGCUUAACACAUGCAAGUCGAACGAUGAAGCCCACUUGUGGGUGGAUUAGUGGCGAACGGGUGAGUAACACGUGAGUAACCUGCCCUUGACUCUGGGAUAAGCCUGGGAAACUGGGUCUAAUACCGGAUAUGACCUUCCAUCGCAUGGUGGUUGGUGGAAAGCUUUUGUGGUUUUGGAUGGACUCGCGGCCUAUCAGCUUGUUGGUGGGGUAAUGGCCUACCAAGGCGACGACGGGUAGCCGGCCUGAGAGGGUGACCGGCCACACUGGGACUGAGACACGGCCCAGACUCCUACGGGAGGCAGCAGUGGGGAAUAUUGCACAAUGGGCGGAAGCCUGAUGCAGCGACGCCGCGUGAGGGAUGACGGCCUUCGGGUUGUAAACCUCUUUCAGUAGGGAAGAAGCGAGAGUGACGGUACCUGCAGAAGAAGCGCCGGCUAACUACGUGCCAGCAGCCGCGGUAAUACGUAGGGCGCAAGCGUUAUCCGGAAUUAUUGGGCGUAAAGAGCUCGUAGGCGGUUUGUCGCGUCUGCCGUGAAAGUCCGGGGCUCAACUCCGGAUCUGCGGUGGGUACGGGCAGACUAGAGUGAUGUAGGGGAGACUGGAAUUCCUGGUGUAGCGGUGAAAUGCGCAGAUAUCAGGAGGAACACCGAUGGCGAAGGCAGGUCUCUGGGCAUUAACUGACGCUGAGGAGCGAAAGCAUGGGGAGCGAACAGGGUUAGAUACCCUGGUAGUCCAUGCCGUAAACG
This 786-nucleotide ribosomal RNA is filed under the name bacterium enrichment culture clone ADE_66. RNAcentral's name for it is "bacterial SSU rRNA". It matches the Rfam family "Bacterial small subunit ribosomal RNA", at positions 1 to 808 of the family's 1533-position model. The record is from RNAcentral.